Molecule: ribosomal RNA, 253 nt
Filed under: uncultured prokaryote
Description: partial 16S ribosomal RNA
Rfam family: Bacterial small subunit ribosomal RNA
Source: RNAcentral
ACGUAGGAGACAAACGUUAUCCGGAGUUACUGGGCGUAAAGGGCGUGCAGGCGGUCUGUUAAGUUCGGCGUGAAAGCUCCCGGCUAAACCGGGAUAGGUCGUCGGAUACUGGCAGACUAGAGGACAGUAGAGGCGGGUGGAAUUCCGGGUGUAGUGGUGAAAUGCGUAGAGAUCCGGAGGAACACCAGUGGCGAAGGCGACCCGCUGGGCUGUACCUGACGCUAAGACGCGACAGCAUGGGGAGCGAACGGGA